This 103-nucleotide microRNA precursor is filed under the name Marmota monax (woodchuck). The record is from RNAcentral. Lineage: Eukaryota; Metazoa; Chordata; Mammalia; Rodentia; Sciuridae.
AAUGGGAUAGCUGGGUCAAAUGGUGGUUCCAGUGCAAGUUUUCUAAGGAAUCUCAAUACUGCUUUCUAGACUGGUUACACCAAUUCGCAGUCCCACCAGCAAU